Molecule: long non-coding RNA, 4980 nt
Filed under: Sus scrofa (pig)
Lineage: Eukaryota; Metazoa; Chordata; Mammalia; Artiodactyla; Suidae
Description: lncRNA (ENSSSCG00065076012.1)
Source: RNAcentral
CCUCAUGUUUAAUUUUGGAUGGAUUCUGUCAUGAAUUCUACAACUGUAUCUUGUUUGUUAAUAUUUUUCCUCAAUGUCUAAUUUACUAUUAACCCUAUCCAGUAUAUAUUUUUUUAAACACUAUAGUUUUUAUCACUAGAAAUUCAAUAUGGUCCUUUAAAAAUAUUUUCCAACUUUUAAGUAUUUUCUCUAAUUUCUUGAAUAUAAGGAAUAUAAUUAUAAUAAAUAUUUUAAUAUGAUUGACCACUAAUUUUAUCAUCUACAUCAAUUCUGAGUCAGUUUUGUUGGUUGAUUUUUCUCCUCAAUCAAUAGGAUCUACUACAUGUAGUAUUUUUCUGUUUCUUUGUAUUUUGGGUAAUUUCUAUUAGAUGCCUGAAUUUUAUCUUUUGGGGUGUAGGGUAUUUCUGAAUUCCUGUAAAAAUUCUUGAGUUUUAUUCUGGAAAGUUGUCAAAUUACUUGGGAUUACUUUCAUCCAUUUAGUUUUGCUUUUAAGAUUUGUUAGGUCAGAGCACCAUUUAACUAGGGUUAAUUUUCAUUAUUGCCUGGGCAAAACCCCUCUGAGCUCUCUAACUACGGCUCUGUGAACUGUCAGGUUUUCCACCCAAGUCAGUGGUCCUGUAUUGGCUUUAAAGAUUGUUCCGGAGUUCCCAUCGUGGCGCAGUGGUUAACGAAUCCGACUAGGAACCAUGAGGUUGCGGGUUCGAUCAAUCCCUGGCCUCGCUCAGUGGGUUGAGGACUCGGCAUUGCCGUGAGCUGUGGUGUAGACGGCAGACGUGGCUUGGAUCCAGCAUUGCUGCGGCUCUGGCAUAGGCCGGGAGCUACAGCUCCGAUUAGACCCCUAGCCUGCGAACCUCCAUAUAUCACAGGUGCGGCCCUAGAAAAGACAAAAAAAAAAAAAAAGAUUGUUCCUUCUCAUCCUUUAAGGUAAUUAAUUCUUCCCACUGCAGAAAAGUUGUUCACUGAUACUCAGCUGAUUGCUUGAGAGGAAUUUUCUCCAGAUCUCAGACGCUGUCUCUCUGUGGAUGCAGCUGCUCUUCUCCACCACGUUACUAGCAGGUGAACCGCAGUUCCCCGGCCUCCCCAGGCUGCCGUCUUCUUCUCUUCAACUCAUGGAGACUCCUGGGCUCUGUUAGGUCUCCCCUCCCUGCACUGCCACCGGACAUAUUCUCCAGGGGCAGCAAUUUGGGAACAUUCCAGGGCUCAUCUCAUCACCCAUUUUCAGGGGUAACAGCUGUCCUCUGCUCCUUGCUAUUCCAUGUCAGGAUGGCUGGAUUCUCACGUACUUUACCUGUUUCAUGAGGGAGGUAAAUCUGGUCUCCAUUACUCCAUCAUAGUCAGGGAUGGAAAUGUCUUAAUUAUUUGUAAACCAUCCAGGGGGUCUCAUUCGUCUGCUUCUCCUCCCACUUCUCCACCUAUGCACGAAGCAGCAAUGGUCUUCAUUCAUGAAGUACUAUUUUUUUCAUUCUUUUGUGAUUAAAAACACAUGGUGCUUCAAAUUUUCUUCUGACUAAAUACAUGCCAUUGGUCUUGAUAUACAGUAUGGAAACGGUUUUUUACUGUUUGCAAUUGUAUUACUUUGGUUUAAUUUCCCCUUUUCAUCCGAUGGUUGUUUCAUAGAAGAUUUUAUUUUUAAUUUACAGAUGGAAGGGCCAGUUUGGUCCUUAUGUUAUGGAUUAUAUCUAACUUUAUGGCCUUGUGAUUGGAGUAUUUUUUGUAAUAUUUUUACAUAAGCACACUUACUGAUGUUUUAUUUGUGACCUAAAUAACAUAUAACCGAUCUUUUAAACACAAAUGUGUUUUUAAGAAUUAUUUUAUUUUUGUUCUUAUUUUCAAUAUUUUAAAAAUUUUCUGACCUCCAUUCAAUUCCCUAAAGUCCCCCUACCGUGAACUGUUUGCUUUCGACAACUGUUUCAGCAUACUGUAUAGAGACACUGCUCCAGUACAUUGAAUUAAUGAGAAUAACCAUUUUAGGCAGAUUCCCUAUUAAAGAGAUCCUUUCGUCUCCACCUGUGUAUUCGUCAAUUCACCAAAAAUGUGAGCCUAGUGUGAGCCCCACGGACACCGGGUUGAAGAUGGUCCUUGUCCCCGAGGAAGUGUGCUGACCUGCCGUGUUUCUUCCUCCUUGGGUUCUGCUCCAAUCACUCAUGGCUCUAUCCGUAUUUCAAAAUACAAUGCUUCAAAGACUUACUCCUACCUUAGAGUGUUCCUCAAAGUAUGGCAGAGCCUGUCUAGAAAAACUGUACUGGUGAUUACUGCAACGAGAUUGUGUGUCACUGUCACCUCGUCAUGUCCUUUGCAAAGUCUCUGGCUUCAACAAUUGGUAGGGCAUUCCCAUUACUAAGUAUAAAAUCAGUGGAGAAGUCACAGAAAAAAAUAGAUACGGGAUAAUUAAUACACAAUUAUAAUUGUAAAACUAAAACGGUCAAAAAAUCACAAUGAUUAAUAAUAAGUGUAUUGGUGAAAUGGAGAAAGUCAAAUGCUUCAAGUAGCACAGAGUUGCACACUCAGUAUUUUAAAUAUUUUAUAUAAAUAUUACUCAUGAAUAUUUUGUUCAUGAGUAAUAGAACAAAAUUAGACUAACUCCACCUCAGUUUUUAUUUGUAAAAUAUGAUAAGUUGUUGAUAAGAUCAGAACUCACAAAGGCAAGAGCUUUCUUGACACGUAGCAGGCACUGGGUAUAUGGUAGUUCUUGUUUUCAUUAUUAUUAAUGCAGUCUUACACAAAGAUAGACAUUUAAAAAGGUUUUUUUGAAACAAUGAUCUUGAGACAUAAAUAACUUAAAGGGCUUUCUGGGAUACAUUUUGGGGGAAUUUAGAUGUUUUGUCUACCAGUAGUUGGAAAGAAAGAGUAGUAGUCAAAUGUAAUUUCUGCUGACCUGAGUUUAUUUCCAGUAACACACAGUGGUCACAACAAAGCACUCCACUAUGACUUUGUAUAUCUCAAAUGUCAUGGGAGAAGCUGGAACUGCACAGGAGAAAAUCGUUGCCAGGCGUUCUGGUUCUCUUCUCUUAUUUAAAAACAGCUAACUCAACUCAUCCUUCAGUUUUCUGCUUAAAUAUGCUCACUUCCUCAGUGAAGCCAUCCCCUUUAGGCUACACUCCUCUAAGUGGCUCUAAUCCCAAAUUCCCUACCAUACGCUUCAUCACACAUUUUUCAUAGUUCUUCUUUCGGCUGUAUUUCUUCUCAAUAUGUUGCAAACUCCAUAAAAAGAGAAGACAUGUCUUUUUUCACUGUUCUUGCCCUAGCACCAUGCAGACUGUUUGGCACAAUGUUGGCGACUCAAUAAAUAUGAAAUAAAUGACUGAGUAAAUGAAUAAAUUCCCUAAAAGGCGUGCCAGUUUCACUGUACAGCCGGGUAGUUCUAGAAGCUGUGUCUGAAACGCCGGAGGACUUCCCAGCACACUCCUCCAGAGGCCUUAACAGAGUGAGGAGAUGUUGUGUGCAUCCCAGGACGACCUCUCCAUCGCUGACAAUCAUCGCAGACCUUCGGAGACCUUUAGGAUCGGCCCUGCCGUGGCACCAGCUAGACCUCCUUAGUCCAUAGCCAUGCACUGGGUGCGUACAUAUUCAGAGUCAACUAAACCAGUUUGUAGGGAACUAGCUCUAUACCAGGCUAAGAGGCAUGUGCUUUAUCAUGUCUUUUUUCUCAACGGCACAAAACUAUAAGGGGGCAGGAUGAUCAUUUCUAUAAUAAAUAAGGAAAAUGGCUACAAAAUAUAUCAAAACUUGAGCAAAGCCAUGUAGUUUGUUAGUAUAAGAAUGAAGAUGCACAUACAAGACACAAGCUUAUGUGAAGGGAGGAAAUGUUUUAAGACACAGUGAAGUGACUGUAUUUGAGCUGUUUGCACACGGGUGUAAGCUGGUCUGCACAUGCCGUCAAUGGACUCAACUGAGGCUCAAAUGAGCUUGGGUGUAGCAUAUAUUAGGAGUCAGAGUUGCCCUUACUGACAUUCGUUUGCUCUCAGACAUUAGAUAUUCUAGUUUUCUAAGUGUCCCUUUCCUUAUCUGCAAAGUGAAUCGACUGUGUGCCUUGCUUCUCUCCCAGGGUCAUUGCGAGGAAACCUGAUAACCCAUAUAUGAGUCAGAUGUGUUAAUACAGAGCUUCAAAGAUUUAAAGAGCCUGUUAACACACCUACCAUCUUGAUUCUCUUGUUCUAUUUCACUGAACAAAACAAGGUCUGUUCUCUCCCUUCUCCCACUGCAUUCGUAAAGUCCUAUGAACGUCGUCCCAGCAAAUUUACAAAGAGAAUUAUUUUCAGUCUCUGACAUAAUGAAAAUCAACUCACGGUCCCAGGAAAAUAGCAAUUUUUCUACACUAAGGUUUUGCUAUGUGUUAGCUAUCACUGAACUAGGUACGAAGUUAAGGUUUGAGGGAAUCAACACUGGGCAUGACUUUCAGACAUAACUCUGCAUUUAUUAGCACUACAACUCACGUUAUCUUUUUUUCCUCUGGCUGUACAUGCGACAUGUGAAAGUUUUAGGGCCGGGGAUCAAUCCCAUGCCACAGCUGUGGCAGUGCCGAAUCCUUAAGCUGCUGCACCACAAGGGACCUUCCUGCACUACAACUAUUAGUCUGAAAUCCUCACCAAUAAAAUGGGGAUAAUAAACGCUACAUGUCUUAAAAUCAUCAAAUUCCAUCAAAUUGUAAAUAGCAAAGUUAUGAAGAGUGUAUGGGGUAUUCACAUAGUCAAUUUUUAAGGAAGACAUGCAUUCAAAGGAUAAUGUUUUUUUAUAUCUAAACUCAAUGUUUCUUUGUUAUUUAAGAAAAACACAAAUGCCUUAUUUCUGAAAAGUACUUAUUCAUAACACUAACUAAACUGAUGAGGGCUGGAAUAUAUUUCUUUGACAACACUCUUCAGGCUCAGUUAGGUCUUUCAGAAGUGCAAUAUUUAUGACAACCCUCAGGAAAUUAAAAGGUAUGGUAUUUCCACAUCAGAAACAAGAAAAAAUAACUUAUGCCAUGACCAAACACAAAGCAAA